UACGUAGGGUGCAAGCGUUAAUCGGAAUUACUGGGCGUAAAGCGUGCGCAGGCGGUUUUGUAAGUCUGACGUGAAAUCCCCGGGCUCAACCUGGGAAUUGCGUUGGAGACUGCAAGGCUAGAAUCUGGCAGAGGGGGGUAGAAUUCCACGUGUAGCAGUGAAAUGCGUAGAGAUGUGGAGGAACACCGAUGGCGAAGGCAGCCCCCUGGGUCAAGAUUGACGCUCAUGCACGAAAGCUUGGGGAGCAAACAGG
RNAcentral lists this ribosomal RNA (253 nucleotides) under uncultured bacterium. RNAcentral's name for it is "partial 16S ribosomal RNA". It matches the Rfam family "Bacterial small subunit ribosomal RNA", at positions 524 to 776 of the family's 1533-position model. The record is from RNAcentral.